AGGCAAAGCAAAGCAAGGGCUCAGAACCAAAGUAGUCUGCCUGUGAAGCCCAUGCCCUACACCCUCUGUGAAUUGCCUCACAGCACAGACAAGGGGAGAGAAUAUUUCACUGUAGCCUUCACAGAGCCUAUGACCUGCUAAUCUUGAUUUGUUACUUGUGUUUUAUUCUCUUGGUAGAGAAUUCACUCAUCUGUCCUGAAGUCCAAAUAAUUGUAUUGCCAUCCGCUCCAAGUGUGGAUGUGUGGCGGGCCUGGGAAGCCACAGAGGAGAACAUUGUUCUUACCCUGCCAUUCAGGUCAUAUUUUCCAGCCAGACUGGGACCAGUGAAGGAAUUAAUGGAUCCGCUGAGCAAAAUUCCCCAAGCUAAUGCCUUCAUAAAUUUUCAUCUAGUCCAUUCAUGGGCUUCAACUGAGGAAGCAACCCUGGUCUAAUCAAUUUCGCUCAGUGUGUAAGUGUCUUGUAGAAUAAAGGAUGGUAAGCCAAACCCAAUAAAUGGCUUCUUG
RNAcentral lists this long non-coding RNA (503 nucleotides) under Callithrix jacchus (white-tufted-ear marmoset). Its description in RNAcentral is "lncRNA (ENSCJAG00000081870.1)". The record is from RNAcentral. Lineage: Eukaryota; Metazoa; Chordata; Mammalia; Primates; Cebidae.